This 234-nucleotide ribosomal RNA is filed under the name uncultured bacterium. RNAcentral's name for it is "partial 16S ribosomal RNA". It matches the Rfam family "Bacterial small subunit ribosomal RNA", at positions 15 to 244 of the family's 1533-position model. The record is from RNAcentral.
GAUCCUGGCUCAGGACGAACGCUGGCGGCGCGCCUAACACAUGCAAGUCGAACGAGAGAGAGGGAGCUUGCUUCCUUGAUAGAGUGGCGAACGGGUGAGUAACGCGUGAGGAACCUGCAUCAAAGAGGGGGACAACAGUUGGAAACGACUGCUAAUACCGCAUAAGCCCACGGUGCCGCAUGGCACAGAGGGAAAAGGAGCAAUCCGCUUUGAGAUGGCCUCGCGUCCGAUUAG